CAGAACGAACGCUGGCGGCAGGCCUAACACAUGCAAGUCGAGCGAGACCGUUCGGGUCUAGCGGCGGACGGGUGAGUAACGCGUGGGAACGUGCCCUUUGGUACGGAAUAGCCCCGGGAAACUGGGAGUAAUACCGUAUAAGCUCUUCGGAGGAAAGAUUUAUCGCCAAAGGAUCGGCCCGCGUUGGAUUAGGUAGUUGGUGGGGUAAUGGCCUACCAAGCCGACGAUCCAUAGCUGGUUUGAGAGGAUGAUCAGCCACACUGGGACUGAGACACGGCCCAGACUCCUACGGGAGGCAGCAGUGGGGAAUCUUAGACAAUGGGCGCAAGCCUGAUCUAGCCAUGCCGCGUGAGCGAUGAAGGCCUUAGGGUUGUAAAGCUCUUUCAGUGGGGAAGAUAAUGACUGUACCCACAGAAGAAGCCCCGGCUAACUCCGUG
This 437-nucleotide ribosomal RNA is filed under the name uncultured bacterium. Its description in RNAcentral is "bacterial SSU rRNA". It matches the Rfam family "Bacterial small subunit ribosomal RNA", at positions 25 to 507 of the family's 1533-position model. The record is from RNAcentral.